Long non-coding RNA from Gossypium arboreum, 912 nucleotides. RefSeq lists it as uncharacterized. Lineage: Eukaryota; Viridiplantae; Streptophyta; Magnoliopsida; Malvales; Malvaceae. The record is from RefSeq and is a predicted model, not a curated record. The transcript is spliced from 4 exons.
AUUUCAUCCUCUCUUCCACGUUUCUUAUAGACCAUUUUUAGCUAAACUUUCCUUUUCUUUCAUAUAGGUCAUUUUGUAUCAUUUUUCAACCCUUUCCAGCUCAAACUUAAAAAAAUUCUUCCAUAGAUUUCUAGCGAAAACAAGAGAAUAACUCCAAGGCAAGAUAAGUUUCUUGUGAAGCUAGUUAGAGUUCAUAUUUGAGGAUGAAAAAAUAAGCUUGAAGAUGGAUGUUUGAAGUGGAAGAGAGUAUGGGUAGGUGGAGAAAUUAAGAUAAAAUCGCAACGCCAAAAUUUACAGAGAAUAUAAGUCGAGAGAGAAUUUGUCGGAGUUAGAGAGAGUGAAACAAAAUGAGUAUCAGCUGCGCGUUGAAGGUGGUUCCGAUUGUGCUUCUGUUGGUUCUUUUCGCAUUAGUAUAAGCCUCCAUCAUGUGAAUUCCAGGCUCAUAAAGGUGAUAGAGUAAAAGUACACUAUCGGGGGAAGCUCACUGAUGGGAAGGUUUUCGAUUCCAGUUUUGAAAGAGGUUGUAGCACCCCAAACCCGGCCCAGAAGUUAUAGCCAGAUUCGGCAUGGCACAUCAAAAACGUUAAAAAAAAUUUUCCAUUCUAAGUCCAGAAAAUCGUACUUGAUGUUCAAAAGAUUAAUUCAUUAAGGGUUAAAGUGAAUGGAAGUCAUGCACCGGUAGGAAACCGGAAAAGAGGUGGUGAGUCCAUCGGAUUGCUUAAGUACCAAGCUCCUUCGAUCCAAUCCUAGACAUGCAUACCACCAUUGCCACACCUUAACGUCAUGGAUAUUUCUAGGAAACCGAUUUGAUUAAGUCAUUUUAGGAAAAGUGAUUAAUUUUGGAAAAUACUUUCAUUGCGGAAGCUUUGCUUGUUGUCGUGUUAUUUUGAAAUCAAUUGUUGUUUUUGAAAA